GUUUAAAUGGCCUGUUUUUCGCUAGCGGAAAUUAGCAUUAGCAUUAGCAUUAUCACAGUUAACCAUAGACUGUAAAUGCACGGUGUUAAUCAAGCUAGCAGCCGGCGCUAGGGUCAGCUCCACCCUCUCGUCCAAACAUGGUCACUUUUGGCUCCAAAAAUCAAAGAUGGCGACAGCCAAAUCGCUAAAUCCGAGGCUUCAAAACACGGAUGUAUAAAGAGAAUGACACAAAUGUAAUCCCAUAUGACCAGAGACAUCCAGAAAAGACAGCAUGACCCAGGGCCAACCCGUCACUGCUGGCUAUUGAGCCAAAUUAAGGAAACUCCCGUAAAGUCAACACUGUCACAUCGCCGUGCAUUGUGGAGUUGGCUGGUUGGUGUGAUUACUCUUCGACAGUAGAUGUCAUGAGUGGACUGGCCCUGUUGAGGGUGCUGAAGCAGUGACGGAGAGGGAGGUGCAUCACCACCGAGCCCUGUCUCAGACAGGCUGCCUAGCAACCAGAGCAGAGCAGAGAUUGCAGUGCCACAGUUGGGGCUGCCAGCAUCAUUCCUGGAUCACAUUACACUGAGACAGCAAGUAAGAGAAGGAGUGAAAUAGAGAUGAAGAUAGAGGAGAAAGUGAGGGGGAUGGGUAAAAAUGGAAAAAAAAAAGUGAGCGCAUCAAUAAAGGAAAGCAGAAAACAGCAGCAUGAUGGUGGACCAGAGAGAAAAUGAAUAGCUGAUAGCAUGAUUCCAUAAUUACAGGUUGGUAGGCAGGAAACAAUUGAUUUUUUCUUUAUUAAGCACUGCAGUCAGGCACUGCUACAUUAAUGUAAACAUAAGUUGUAAAAUAUUACCUAACUGUCUACCAGCAACUACCCAUAUGCAGUAUAAUACAGAACAGGACAACUGCCGCUUAUUUAACUAUUCACAGUCCCGGCUAGAUCAGUAGACUCUAAAAAGUUUUAUCAAAUAACAAAACAUUAAAACAAAACUCAAACAGAACAAUUAAAUUACAUGAAUCACAGCACAAAGUAGCCCUGAGCACUUUGGUCUCUACUGCCUCCCCCUCUUCUGCAUGACAACAUUCAUGCUGCCAUGUUGCCUUCUGUCCCACUGGUGGGGGAUGUGACCGUCAAUGCUUAAGCUCUCUUACAAAGUGUCCUUCUGGAGAGGGGUUUAGGUGCAUUUCCUCUGACCAGUAAAUUGUAUGAUUCCUGGAUGAGUCCAACAUUCAUUUAUUAGGAGGUGAAUAAAUACUGAUGAAUCUCAUGAAUUCAGUUUUGACUAAAAAGCUGAUUUUAUACCUAUUUUGCUAUGACAAGCUGAAUUAUGACAAAUGUAAAUACAAUGGAUUCAUGUGAAAUUAAAGGGAGCAUUUUUCAAACAGUUAUCACAGUGCCAAAACCAGUGAGAGAGUAAGGGACCACUUAACUCCUGGGUAUCAUCAAAGUUCAUUACAGUUUUCCAGCCAGUUAAUUACUCAUCAUUGUAUUCACCUGCUGUUCCAGGUGUGAAUCAGUCCUUGAUUGCUAGAGUGAAAAUGAGCAGCUCUGAGUCCUGGGAACAAAGACGGGGAGCUUCCACUCGAGAUGAUUACACCUUGACACCUUUUCUGAAGAGUGUAGCAGCAAUUAGUAUUUUCCCUUUUCCAUAAUUUUUUUCACAGAUCCAUACCUGCAACAUUUCACAUAUGCUGCGCAAUUUCAAACCAAUUCACUUAUCAUAAAAUACUGUCUGAUUGUUAAAGUGCAGUAUUGAUACCCACAUUUAAAUCUAGUACACAUGCUAACAGUGGAAAUAGACCAAACAAAACAAAACAAAAAAACUUUGUUACAAGACAACACUGCAGGUCAGCAGUGAACAAGACAUAUUAAAAUUCAUAUUAAUAUAUUGCCAUUUAAUUCAUUAAAACAUUUAUCUCUAGAAAGGAUUAAUCAAAAGAACUAAUUUAUUCUUAGUUGUGCACUAAUGUCUAAAAUAUAUGCAUGACAGUGAUACUAAGAGUAGAAGGGUCUGGUUCAGCCUGAACUAUUGCAUUUAUCUAUUGUGCCUGUUUUGGUACUGUUUAAUAUUGUUUUAUAACAUUUAGUUUAGAGCUGAUUUGUCAGAAGAUUAAUUGGCAAAUAUUUGGAUAAUCGAUUAAUCAUUUAGCUCUUUUUUAAAAGCAAAAAUGCCAAAAAUUUGAUGGUUUCAGGUUCUCAAAUUAGAGUGUUUGCUGCUUUUCUCAGCCUCUUUAUUGUGAAUAAAUUAUUCUUAAAAACCAACACAUGAGGUGAUUCUUUUUAGCUGUUUUUUAACUAUAAUUAUAAAUUUGAACUAUUGUUUGAACCAAAUAAGACAUUUAAUGAUGUUACUGUGGACGUUUUUCACAAUUUUGAUGUUUUAUAGUCCAAAACUAUUCAUCGAUUAGUCAAAAACAUAAUUGGAAGAUUAAUUGAUAAUAAAAAUAAUCAUUAGUUGCAGUCCUAAUUUAGUUAGAGACACUGGAUAUGCUUCUCUGUCUGUAAAUUACUCUCCAUUACUGUUUUGUACUGUAAGUUGUGCAAAUAAAGGCCUUACUCGUAUUAUAUACUUUUAAUCCAUCUCAAUUAGGUCCAAUCAAAACCUUAAAAAUAUUAAUGUCUUUCAAGAUGAUUUUCUUGUCAAUGUAAUGCCAGAUGUAUUAUAUGUUUUAUUAAAGCUGAUGAAAAGAUGAAAUCAAUCAGAGGCACUAACAGAUCUUUUACAAUCUAUGUUGGUAUAUGAAGAUAAGUUAUCAGUAUUUUUAGAUAGAAAGGCAAACAAAAUAAGGGAAAGUUUCCUUUAUUCGUUCUUUCCUUAUGUUGUAAGAAACAGCACGCACUCCCAUGUUCACCAUUAGAUUAAUACAGAGCUUGACCAGUCCAGGCAAAACAAACAGGAUAUGAUAUACUCUGUUUUAAUAAACAUAAUUGGACAUUAUGUCAAUAAAAUGUAUUUUCCUGGGGUUCCUUUCACACAAGCAGGGGGUUUCUAACAGCUUGCAACAAUUAAAAUCCGCCUCUUACUGUACAAGCAGCCCACCACAUUACCACUGCAACACAAUACCUUUGGGUUUAGGAGGCUUUAUUGUAUCAAUAUAUCAUCGUGGAAGGAAUCCAGGACAUCUUAAAGGAAAUACUGUGUUAUGAAGGUCAAUAGAAUAGAAUAGAAAGUCUCCAAAGUCUACAGAUGCAUGUGUUGGCCCUUGUGUACUGUAAUAAGAAUUGAACACUGAGAGGCUGAAUAAGCUGUUCCUUUAAUGGUUAAAUGAGUUAACUUAAUGUAGAGCAAAUGUCAAAUACUAUCUGCCAUCAUCUCAGAUUGUAAUUCAAGGACCAAGCUUGAGCUUUUAAAUUACUGUGCAUUAGGUAAUGGAAUGAAAGCUAACCUUACCUCUCAGGCAUGUAAUUUCCAAGAAACUUAGACUGCAAAUGCAUUUGCAGGAACCACGAGAGGCUCCUCAGGUGUAAAUUAAAGAUGGCAAAUCCCCACAGCAUCUUCACAGAAUUUAAGCUUUUGCAAGUUCAUCUAUUUGCAUUUUCUUUAACAGUGAUUAAUCCAUUUUCCCCCUAUAUUUGGAUUAAUUUUAACAUUUGCUGCUCUGAUGAACUCAGAGGGAUUUUAUGUUAGGUGCUAAAUCUGCAUGCAGCUUUACAAUGCUAUAUGAAUGAAGUAUAUGCUGGAAUAUAGUUGUAUGCAGCACAAUACAUACUGUAUUAGUAAAGUAAAUCUCGGCAGGUAAAUGUACUUGAAUUAGACAGAAUUUGAAUCCAUUAAAUGAAGAAAUAUUUUCACCUCUUUUGUAUAAAGACAUAUUUUAAAUGUAUAUCUCCUACAUUCACCUGCUUUUAAAUGUGACCUAGGCUUAAGCUUGAGAUCAUCCAUCAGUAGAGCUGUAAAAAAAAUUAAUUUACCUCCCUAUACAAUCUGUAUUUAGGCCAGAACACCUGCUGGAUAUUAGUGGAGCAAACCCUCUCAUCCACCCACUGGCACCUUUAAACCAGCCACACUGAGCACUCAUGCGAGAACAAUGUUUGUCUCCGAUGGUCAACAGAACUUUCUCUUUUCCACUACGAUCCAUCACAAUACAGCCAUUGUUGCCUUCUCAGUUGAUUUUCACUCUCAAGUGUCUCCUCAAGUGCCAAACCCCAACACAGCUUUCAUCUCAUUUGCAUUAUCACGAUUACUGCUGCCAGCCAACACCUACCACUACAACUGUUUUUUUCAUGUAUAUGUAAGCCUCCGAGGACAGGAAAUUCACUCAUCUUCUGCCAAUGCUAACUUCAGACUAUUCUCCAAGGUGUUUCAGCACAACACUUUGACAAGUAUUAGUAUCCUGUAGCUAUGUAUGCUGCAACAACAACAACAACAACAGACUUUACAUUCACCAUGGGGCAGAAUGCUUAAAGCUGCACAAGGCAGGAUACUGUAAGAAUCCACUCAGCCAAAAUCAAAAAGUGGGGCUGCAACAAAGAAGAGCUUCUUAUCCCCCCCAUGGAGACGCUCUAGAUUCACCCUCUUCGCCCAAAUUGAAGUCUGCUGUUGAGUGUAGUCGCUCUAAUCUCUUUGAAAUGCCGAAAAUGAACAGCAAAAUAGCUUGUACCUGAACAGCACCGCAACCAUAGAAAGAUCUGCUCAUCAAUACAAGCUGAACCUCAACAUUUUCAUUGCACUCCGUAAAUAAGGAGACAUUUUGAUAUUUUUGGAGUGGAAUUUUUUUCUUAAAGUUCACCUCUCAGUGCCGUUUGUGUGCUAUUAUACUGAGUGGACACCUUUUUUUCUAAGAGUGUAAUUUAAAAGUACAUGCCAAAUGACACAAGACUAGGAAGGAACAGUGGAAAUGUUUUUACACAUUUAUGAUUGAUAAUGUAUUUGUCCAUUUAUUAUUGUAAGUCAAGCUCCAAAAACAGCAGCAGGAAUACCCCCAUUUGUAUGAAAAAGGUAUGCAAUAGCCCUUUGCAGGGGGUCCCAAGGAGACAUCCUUGAUUAUCUUACUAAAACUUUGAUCAAAAAACACUUUUAGCUCUAGAUGUUUUGAAGUACACUACUGUCCCAACCAAACGUAAGACUGUCUCUAAAAAUAUAAAAUCCCUUAAGUGCUUUUGGACUUUCUUCACCACCAGAAGGCCUGUAUUACAACGGUGAAACUGAAAAAAUCAUAAAAAAUACAUAAAGAAAACAUUUUUUUUUCAACGUUCUGUCAUUCUUACAUUUCGGUCUGAAAUAUUCACUUGUUAAUUUAUGUCCUUGCAUUAAUGAGAUUCUGAAUCUCAUUUCUGAGGGAUGAUUCAUCAUCGGCAUUGAUGAGACCCACACAGAUGUAUCAUCCUCAAAUUUAAUAAUCAGAUUAGAGUCAUAGAUACACUAAAUGGUGCCACAGUGGGUGCUUCGCUGCAGUGCUUCUGCUGAGGGUUGCACAGUUGUGUUGCAUGCUUAUAUUUAUAUAUGUAACAAAAAUUGCAGAUAAAUGUGGACAUGAAGUUUGGUUAUACCUUAACUUAAACCUGACUUAAACUGACUCAAAACACUAUGGACAUAAUGACCCCAAACCAGGUAUAAUUGCGGUCUUAUAAUGAAAUUUGUAGUUGCAAAAAAACAUGGCCUUCACUUUUUUUGAGGAUAUUUUAUGAAAUGCUCUUUUUUUCACUGUAUCAUGUAAUGCAAACAACAAGCAGGACUUCCUAAAACAGUUAUACUAAUA
Thunnus maccoyii (southern bluefin tuna) is the source of this 5682-nucleotide RNA transcript. It is a transcript of the gene named zinc finger and BTB domain containing 20, with no coding region annotated. Lineage: Eukaryota; Metazoa; Chordata; Actinopteri; Scombriformes; Scombridae. The record is from RefSeq and is a predicted model, not a curated record. The transcript has 3 exons.